RNAcentral lists this ribosomal RNA (537 nucleotides) under Debaryomyces hansenii. RNAcentral's name for it is "eukaryotic LSU rRNA". It matches the Rfam family "Eukaryotic large subunit ribosomal RNA", at positions 62 to 604 of the family's 3401-position model. The record is from RNAcentral. Lineage: Eukaryota; Fungi; Ascomycota; Pichiomycetes; Serinales; Debaryomycetaceae.
AAACCAACAGGGAUUGCCUUAGUAACGGCGAGUGAAGCGGCAAAAGCUCAAAUUUGAAAUCUGGCACCUUCGGUGUCCGAGUUGUAAUUUGAAGAAGGUAACUUUGGAGUUGGCUCUUGUCUAUGUUCCUUGGAACAGGACGUCACAGAGGGUGAGAAUCCCGUGCGAUGAGAUGCCCAAUUCUAUGUAAAGUGCUUUCGAAGAGUCGAGUUGUUUGGGAAUGCAGCUCUAAGUGGGUGGUAAAUUCCAUCUAAAGCUAAAUAUUGGCGAGAGACCGAUAGCGAACAAGUACAGUGAUGGAAAGAUGAAAAGAACUUUGAAAAGAGAGUGAAAAAGUACGUGAAAUUGUUGAAAGGGAAGGGCUUGAGAUCAGACUUGGUAUUUUGCGAUCCUUUCCUUCUUGGUUGGGUUCCUCGCAGCUUACUGGGCCAGCAUCGGUUUGGAUGGUAGGAUAAUGACUAAGGAAUGUGGCUCUACUUCGGUGGAGUGUUAUAGCCUUGGUUGAUACUGCCUGUCUAGACCGAGGACUGCGUCUUU